AAGCUAUCUUCUUGUAACAUUUUUAUUUUCACUAAGGAAGAAAGAUUAAAAAAAUGCUGUCGAUGAAAGAAACAGCUUCGAACAUUGCAGCUUCUGCAAAGUCUGGCAUGGACAAGACCAAAGCUACCUUGGAGGAAAAGGCGGAGAAGAUGACGACGCGAGACCCUGUUCAGAAACAGAUGGCCACACAGAAGAAAGAAGCAAAGAUUAACCAGGCUGAGAUGCAGAAGAGAGAAGUGCGUGAGCACAACCACUACAAGAAAAAGUAACCGACUCCGACGAAAAGGCCCGAUAACCCAAGUUCUCGGAAAAUCUCCAACGACUAACCGAGAAAAUGGUGUGGAAUUUUCAAAUUCAUCGAAAAUUUGUAGAAACUUUCCGACGAAAAUAUAUUCUCGACAAAUUCUCGAUCUUGUAUUGCUUUUCAAACCAAAGUUCCUUAAACCACCGCGCUUGAUCUCCUUGCACCGCCACUAUGCAACUCCUUCCACCGCCGUCACCUCUCACUCCACCGCCACCGUCACGGCCAGCUUCAUAUCCUACAUAGGUACCAUUGCCCACCACAUCGUCAACCGUGUACCCUACACCGGCGCAGUCGCACUCUACGCCAGCACCGUCGCACUCUACGUCGUCACCGUCGCACUCUACGCUGGCACCGUCGCACUCGCAUCCUGAACCGGCACUAUCCGUAAUAAUAUAGUUUUA
Molecule: RNA transcript, 705 nt
Organism: Brassica oleracea var. oleracea
Lineage: Eukaryota; Viridiplantae; Streptophyta; Magnoliopsida; Brassicales; Brassicaceae
Gene name: 18 kDa seed maturation protein-like
Exons: 3
Source: RefSeq, a predicted model, not a curated record